CCUACGGGAGGCAGCAGUGAGGAAUAUUGGUCAAUGGGCGAGAGCCUGAACCAGCCAAGUCGCGUGAAGGAUGACGGUCCUACGGGUUGUAAACUUCUUUUGCCGGGGAGCAACAGGGUCCACGCGAGGUCCUAAUGAGAGUACCUGAAGAAAAAGCAUCGGCUAACUCCGUGCAAGCCGCCGCGGUAAUACGGAGGAUGCGAGCGUUAUCCGGUUUUAUUGGGUUUAAAGGGUGCGUAGGCGGGCUGUUAAGUCAGCGGUCAACAGUCGGGGCUCAACCCCGGACUGCCGUUGAAACUGGCGGCCUUGAGUGGGCGAGAAGUAUGCGGAAUGCGUGGUGUAGCGGUGAAAUGCAUAGAUAUCACGCAGAACUCCGAUUGCGAAGGCAGCAUACCGGCGCCCGACUGACGCUGAGGCACGAAAGCGUGGGUAUCGAACAGGAUUAGAUACCCGUGUAGUC
RNAcentral lists this ribosomal RNA (460 nucleotides) under uncultured bacterium. Its description in RNAcentral is "partial 16S ribosomal RNA". It matches the Rfam family "Bacterial small subunit ribosomal RNA", at positions 338 to 795 of the family's 1533-position model. The record is from RNAcentral.